This 497-nucleotide ribosomal RNA is filed under the name uncultured bacterium. RNAcentral describes it as "partial 16S ribosomal RNA". It matches the Rfam family "Bacterial small subunit ribosomal RNA", at positions 28 to 507 of the family's 1533-position model. The record is from RNAcentral.
GAUGAACGCUGGCGGCGUGCCUAAUACAUGCAAGUCGAGCGAACGGACGAGAAGCUUGUGUCUUUGAUGUUUGCGGCGGACGGGAGAGUAACAUGUGGAUAAUCUACCUAUAAGACUGGGAUAACUUCGGGAAACCGUAGCUAAUACCGGAUAAUAUUUUGAACCGUAUGGUUCAAUAGUGAAAGACGGUCUUGCUGGCAGUUAUAGAUGGAUCCGCGCUGCAUUAGCUAGUUGGUAAGGUAACGGCUUACCAAGGCAACGAUGCAUAGCCGACCUGAGAGGGUGAUCGGCCACACUGGAACUGAGACACGGUCCAGACUCCUACGGGAGGCAGCAGUAGGGAAUCUUCCGCAAUGGGCGAAAGCCUGACGGAGCAACGCCGCGUGAGUGAUGAAGGUCUUCGGAUCGUAAAACUCUGUUAUUAGGGAAGAACAUAUGUGUAAGUAACUGUGCACAUCUUGACGGUACCUAAUCAGAAAGCCACGGCUAACUACGUG